This 1085-nucleotide long non-coding RNA is filed under the name Equus caballus (horse). RNAcentral's name for it is "lncRNA (ENSECAG00000047219.1)". The record is from RNAcentral. Lineage: Eukaryota; Metazoa; Chordata; Mammalia; Perissodactyla; Equidae.
GUCACAGGUGAGCAGUGGCACUAGGAUUGGACUUGAGUUAGCUCUUCACCUUGAUCUUGGUAUUAAUGAAGAUCAUUGAUUUAUCGUGAUGGGAGGUCUACUGCCAAAGCCAGGUGGUCUCUAGUGAGUGCCACAGUCAAGGAUACCCACUUGGCACAGUGCAGACUCAGAGGAAGAAAGUGGAGUAUGGAAUAGAACAAGGCCAGCUGCCAGGCUCCCCGUGACCACUGGUUUCCAAGGCAUGAGUUGUGCUUGUUAAAAAUACAGAUUCCUCGGCCCAAAUUCCAAAGAUCUUGUUUUAGUAGCAAACCUGCGGUGGAAUGUAAGCCUGGAGGUCUUGCCUCCGUUUCACAGAUUGGUAGGCCAAGGCAAGCCAAGUUAAGGGAUUGACCAAGGGAGUUACCCAGAUCCGCAAAGCCCAGAAAGGGCGGCCCUGCAUGCAGUUCCCAGAGAAUUUCAGAGAGUUGGCUUCUUUUUCCCGGGGUUGCUGACCGGAUAGGCUGAGCCUGGAGCUGCGGGGCCGUGAGGCCUCUGCCCUGGGAGAGCCUGCCCUGAAGAGAACAGGCCUGCAGAGACAACCGCGUCACUGCCUCCCUCUGGCUGUGGCUGCGCAGAGAGUGAAGCCUCCUGGCUGUUCUUCCUUCACCAGCUCUGCUGUGAAAAAGCCUCUUACCUUGGCGCUGAGAUUUAUGGAUCUCAUUUUGCAGACGGAGAGAAUGGAUACAGGGAAGGAAAGUGAUCAGCCAAAGGUUUGGGGGCUGGUGGCUUCAGUUCAGACUUCCUUCUGCCAAGUCUCACUUUCACGAGUCAGCUGGACUCCUCCUCUGCCCCUCAGGGUGUCCCGUGGACGACACUCCUCCCCCUGAGGAGCACAAGGGGCCUUUCUUUGGAGCUGGAGCCCAGUAAGCCAAUGCCUGUACUCUGGGCCAAAACUACCACAGAGCUGCCUGACUCCAGUCUACACACCGUGUGUUUGAGGAAGAAUCACGCCUGGCUGCUGCUCCUGAAAAAACAAGUUUUGCCCCCAACAGAGCAGAUCAUCACCUUCUGACUUUCCUCCUAUGGGAUACAGUUCAUGAAAGCAG